GCGCCCGUAGCUCAGCUGGAUAGAGCACCAGACUACGAAUCUGGGGGUCGCAAGUUCGAAUCUUGCCGGGCGCA
This 74-nucleotide transfer RNA is filed under the name bacterium. RNAcentral's name for it is "tRNA-Arg". It matches the Rfam family "tRNA". From Rfam's summary of the family: Transfer RNA (tRNA) molecules are approximately 80 nucleotides in length. The record is from RNAcentral. RNAcentral also lists the same sequence under 2 other names.